AGUGAACGCUGGCGGUAGGCCUAACACAUGCAAGUCGAACGGCAGCACAGGAGAGCUUGCUCUCUGGGUGGCGAGUGGCGGACGGGUGAGGAAUACAUCGGAAUCUACUUUUUCGUGAGGGAUAACGUAGGGAAACUUACGCUAAUACCGCAUACGACCUACGGGUGAAAGCAGGGGAUCUUCGGACCUUGCGCGAUUGAAUGAGCCGAUGUCGGAUUAGCUAGUUGGCGGGGUAAAGGCCCACCAAGGCGACGAUCCGAAGCUGGUCUGAGAGGAUGAUCAGCCACACGGGAACUGAGACACGGUCCAGACUCCUACGGGAGGCAGCAGUGGGGAAUAUUGGACAAUGGGCGCAAGCCUGAUUCAGCCAUACCGCGUGGGUGAAGAAGGCCUUCGGGUUGUAAAGCCCUUUUGUUGGGAAAGAAAUCCAGCUGGUUAAUACCCGGUUGGGAUGACGGUACCCAAAGAAUAAGCACCGGCUAACUUCGUGCCAGCAGCCGCCGUAA
RNAcentral lists this ribosomal RNA (506 nucleotides) under uncultured bacterium. RNAcentral's name for it is "partial 16S ribosomal RNA". It matches the Rfam family "Bacterial small subunit ribosomal RNA", at positions 29 to 523 of the family's 1533-position model. The record is from RNAcentral.